UUUUAUCUAUCUCUCUCUCACAAGGUGUCAGCACAUCUUAAGCAGAAGUGGAGAAGUGCUCAGGAUGAGUCCAUAGAGUAAAACACAUUUUUCCUUUUUAAAUUCCUGAAAUAAGGUCAGGAAAUUCUCCUUCUGUUUGUGGACUUUCUGCAAGCUGGCAAAGAGGCUAAAUUAACUGCAUACAUUAUUCAUUACAAAUUAUUCACUCUAUGCAGCACAUACUGAUUGUUUAGAAAAUUCAUUCUUUCUGUCCUAGAAAUGUCACUGGCUGUAACUCAUUACCUCAUCAUUGACAAAUUCUGUUGAUUGCUUGACUAGUUGCUUUAACUAAUCCAGGAUUAUGGGUCACAAGAAUAAAAACAGGCACUUCACUAGCAGUUUGCGCAUGAGUAUCUCCAAACAUGAUUUCCAAAUGCUAAUUAAUCCCCAGAGCACCUGGGAAGUGAAGUAUUCCUAUCCUUAUAACAGAUUUGUAGCUCUUGAACCUUGUCAGGAGGUGGAAAGUCAUUUUGCUGACUCACACAAGCUGCCAGGUCAGGUGGGUCUCAUUAGCUCCAACCAGCUAGGAUAAAAAACCUGAGUAUUAAAUAUUAGAAAGGGAAAAAAAAAGAAAAAAGAAAUCAAGUAAGAGGAUAUAGGGAGGAUGGAAAAAAACCAGCAGAUAGUACUUUUGUUAGCUGCUGUGGGUUAGAGGAAGUAUUGACAAUGCUGUUUGGUUUCAGAACCUUGUUCUUAGUAUAGUUGUUGAAGUAGCUAAAUAAAUGAUAGGGAGUUAAAUGGGAUUGAACCCUUUCAGUUCAAUUCAAUAAGUUGAUUCUUCUGGGCCUUUAUUUAUUUGUUUUCAAAGUGUUUCUAUGCCAGACUAUGCUAGCAGUCUUAAAAUUGUAUGAGGCUCAAAGGCUAUCUGGGAUUGGCAUCCAUUUGUUCUUCUCUUGGACAAGAUAUACAUGUUCUUGGGAGUCCAAGGUCCAGUUGUCUGUGUAUCUGGCACAGAUACAAUAUAAGGCAAAGAGCCUGAAUUCUUCCUUCCCUCUGAGUGAUGGCUGGGAUGCCCAGAUUACAUUUUUGUCACAGACUUGGCAGAUGGCUCUUUCACCUACACUGAAUUCCACCAAACUUCAGCUCAUAGACACUUGAGAAGAUGUGGACAAUAGUCAAUCAACAAGACUUGAAAGAGGCUGGCAAGCAUGCAUGUAGCACUGCCCCCAUGCAGCAGCUUGGUUAAAAAGAUGAGUGCAUUACCCUGAAGGAUGUCAAUUACCCUGAAGGAUGUCACACCAAAGCAAAGGCUUAAUAAUUCAGCCCCGAGACCAGCACGUGUUGUUUAGCAGUGGAGCCAGCUGUCAUGCUUUCUCAAGUUGUGACCUCAUCGGAUUUACGAAGUAAGCUGAACUGAGCUGCAUUUAUAUUUGGCUCUGAAACCUCUUUUGAAAAUCCAGAAUAAUGCAGGAAGUAGUGAUGUGGAUUCAACAGUGAAUAUGAUUCCCUUCCAGUGUUGGACUGAUGUGGUGUUUUAGCACAGAGUGAGGAAGCAAUGUGCUACUGGCAGGAGCUGUAUUUCAUAUAAGGUAUUAGCUCAUUUUUAUGAAAAUCCACACAAAGCUUGCUCAAGGGAUAGGUGCACUGCAGCACUUUCAAUGUAGAGUUGCCACUGAUACACCCCAAAACAGAAAGAAAAGCAGAAACUGAACGCGUCCUCUAGGACUUGAGUGCCCCACUCCCUUACCUCUUUGCAAGUUACAGCAUGACAUUUACAGCUAGUGCUCCACCAUUCAGCCUGCAAAACAAGUUCUCUGCUUCAGUGACACCUCCCCCCCCCCCCCCCCCCCGCGGGUUUUCCUUGCCUGCAUCGGUCCACACAGUCGAUCUUUUAACACUAUGUACUUUGAUGUGAGAGAGAAAGUAAAGGGAUCUGGCUUCUGUUACUGCUUUAUCUACUUGCAUUCCUUCCACAUUCACUUUUCCGUGCUCCUUCCUCUUCUCCCUCCCCGUUUGCUUUCCUUCCACCAGCUGUGCUGACGUUAGAGAUAAGGUAACUCUUCAUCUCAGGACCAGAGUCAAUUCUUAAAAAGUCUUAAGACUCACCUUCUUCUUCCAGUUUUACUAUGGCUCCUGCGUUGACAUAAAUAAGGGUGCACUGGUGUAUUUCUGAGCAGCCUCUGGCCACUAGCAUCAAUGUGUUCCACAUAAUUUUCUAUAUUUCCGAGAUUUAAUAAGUAACUCAACUUUCUAGAUGAACCGUUGUUCUUCAUGAUAGCUUUUAAAUCCAUUCUGAGUACAGUAGAUAGCUGCCCUUCAUAUUAGGGUGUCUAGUAUCUCACCAAAAGCAUGGGAUUUCACCGUGUGCUUUAGUCUUCUCUAGUUUAGAUAUUUGCUUGUUGCAAAAUGAGUGAAGUCCCCAACCUGUGAGAAAGGGCUGCCUAAGGAAAUGCACUCCCUGUGGCUUGUUGACUGGGUGGGGGAGUCAGUCAGCAUUCACUCCUCAUGUUGCUGGUGCUCUGCCCACUUGGACAUUUGAAUAAAGAGUUUUGGAUGGGGUCCUAAAACUGGGAG
Long non-coding RNA from Anser brachyrhynchus (Pink-footed goose), 2553 nucleotides. The record is from Ensembl. NCBI's taxonomy places the organism in Eukaryota, Metazoa, Chordata, Aves, Anseriformes, Anatidae.